This is a long non-coding RNA of Lolium rigidum, 392 nucleotides long. RefSeq lists it as uncharacterized. The transcript is spliced from 2 exons. The record is from RefSeq and is a predicted model, not a curated record. Lineage: Eukaryota; Viridiplantae; Streptophyta; Magnoliopsida; Poales; Poaceae.
UGUGGCUAUUUGAGUUUGGGCAGUUUGGGUGGACGGAACAGUGUAAAUGCAUGUAACUGUAUCUAUCUGAGUUUUAGUAUGCAGUCCCGCUGACAGGCAGCGUUGCUUCUCUCGGAGAAACAUGACAUGAUGCUAUCUACUAUCUAGCACUCAUUUUUAUUUUGGCCACUCCGUCAUCACUGUGCAGAUCGGUUAAUGGGUUAAUGUGGAGAAGAACAAAAAGAAUGAUAGAAGUUAAGUCUAGCCUUUAGUGAGACCAGUUUAGAAACAUACUUGAGAACCCCUAUAUUUCUACAACAUAAUAUAGCACCAUUGUAUUUAUGAAAUCUUAGCUGAAUAUGUGAUCAGGUUGAUGUUACGCUCAUUUAUGACCUAUUCAAUUUUCUAUAAAA